GGUCCCAUCGUCUAGCGGCCUAGGACACCGCCCUCUCACGGCGGGAACGCGAGUUCGAUUCUCGCUGGGAUCACCA
RNAcentral lists this transfer RNA (76 nucleotides) under Alphaproteobacteria bacterium. RNAcentral describes it as "tRNA-Glu". It matches the Rfam family "tRNA". Rfam says of the family: Transfer RNA (tRNA) molecules are approximately 80 nucleotides in length. The record is from RNAcentral. RNAcentral also lists the same sequence under 1 other name. Lineage: Bacteria; Pseudomonadati; Pseudomonadota; Alphaproteobacteria.